ACGAACGCUGGCGGCAUGCCUAACACCUGCCAGUCGAACGAGACCUUCGGGUCUAGUGGCGCACGGGUGCGUAACGCGUGGGAACCUGCCCUUAGGUUCGGAAUAACUCCCCGAAAGGGGUGCUAAUACCGGAUAAUGUCUUCGGACCAAAGAUUUAUCGCCUUUGGAUGGGCCCGCGUUGGAUUAGCUAGUUGGUAGGGUAAAAGCCUACCAAGGCGACGAUCCAUAGCUGGUCUGAGAGGAUGAUCAGCCACACUGGGACUGAGACACGGCCCAGACUCCUACGGGAGGCAGCAGUGGGGAAUAUUGGACAAUGGGCGAAAGCCUGAUCCAGCAAUGCCGCGUGAGUGAUGAAGGCCUUAGGGUUGUAAAGCUCUUUUACCCGGGAUGAUAAUGACAGUACCGGGAGAAUAAGCUCCGGCUAACUCCGU
This 431-nucleotide ribosomal RNA is filed under the name uncultured bacterium. Its description in RNAcentral is "partial 16S ribosomal RNA". It matches the Rfam family "Bacterial small subunit ribosomal RNA", at positions 29 to 506 of the family's 1533-position model. The record is from RNAcentral.